This 254-nucleotide ribosomal RNA is filed under the name uncultured bacterium. RNAcentral's name for it is "partial 16S ribosomal RNA". It matches the Rfam family "Bacterial small subunit ribosomal RNA", at positions 524 to 776 of the family's 1533-position model. The record is from RNAcentral.
GACGUAGGGCGCAAGCGUUGUCCGGAUUUACUGGGCGUAAAGGGCGCGUAGGCGGCCACCGCAAGUCAGUUGUGAAAUCUCUGGGCUUAACCCAGAAAGGUCAACUGAUACUGCGGGGCUAGAGUGCAGAAGGGGCAACUGGAAUUCUCGGUGUAGCGGUGAAAUGCGUAGAUAUCGAGAGGAACACCUGCGGCGAAGGCGGGUUGCUGGGCUGACACUGACGCUGAGGCGCGAAAGCGUGGGGAGCGAACAGG